GUAGGAGGCAAGCGUUGUCCGGAUUUACUGGGCGUAAAGCGCGCGCAGGCGGCAGUGCAAGUACCGAGUGAAAUCUCCCUGCUCAACGGGGAGGGUGCUCGAUAAACUGCACAGCUAGAGGACGGUAGAGGGGGGUGGAAUUGCUGGUGUAGCGGUGAAAUGCGUAGAGAUCAGCAGGAACACCCGUGGCGAAGGCGGCCCCCUGGGCCGAACCUGACGCUGAGGCGCGAAGGCUAGGGGAGCGAACGGGAUUAGAUACCCCGGUAGUCCUAGCAGUAAACGAUGGCCACUAGGUGUGGGGGGUGUUGACCCCUUCCGUGCCGAAGCCAACGCAUUAAGUGGCCCGCCUGGGGAGUACGGUCGCAAGACUAAA
Molecule: ribosomal RNA, 373 nt
Filed under: uncultured bacterium
Lineage: Bacteria
Description: bacterial SSU rRNA
Rfam family: Bacterial small subunit ribosomal RNA
Source: RNAcentral